Molecule: ribosomal RNA, 482 nt
Filed under: uncultured bacterium
Lineage: Bacteria
Description: partial 16S ribosomal RNA
Rfam family: Bacterial small subunit ribosomal RNA
Source: RNAcentral
AUUGAACGCUGGCGGCAUGCCUUACACAUGCAAGUCGAACGGUAACGGGCCUCCGGGUGCCGACGAGUGGCGAACGGGUGAGUAAUACAUCGGAACGUGCCCGAUCGUGGGGGAUAACGAGGCGAAAGCUUUGCUAAUACCGCAUACGAUCUACGGAUGAAAGCAGGGGACCGCAAGGCCUUGCGCGGACGGAGCGGCCGAUGGCAGAUUAGGUAGUUGGUGGGAUAAAAGCUUACCAAGCCGACGAUCUGUAGCUGGUCUGAGAGGAUGAUCAGCCACACUGGGACUGAGACACGGCCCAGACUCCUACGGGAGGCAGCAGUGGGGAAUUUUGGACAAUGGGCGCAAGCCUGAUCCAGCCAUGCCGCGUGCAGGAUGAAGGCCUUCGGGUUGUAAACUGCUUUUGUACGGAACGAAAAGCCUUCUUUUAAUACAGGAGGGUCAUGACGGUACCGUAAGAAUAAGCACCGGCUAACUACGUG